AGCAGCCGCGGUAAUUCCAGCUCCAAUAGCGUAUAUUAAAGUUGUUGCAGUUAAAAAGCUCGUAGUUGAAUUUCGGGGUUCUACCGUCGGUCGGGCUAACAAGUCUGUACUGGUGUGUAGAAUUUCUACCUUCUGGGGAACUAUCAUGUUAUUAAUUUAGCGUGGUGGGAAACCAGGACCUUUACCUUGAAAAAUUAGAGUGUUCAAAGCAGGCUUACGUCUGAAUACAUUAGCAUGGAAUAAUAGAAUAGGACGGUGGUCCUGUUUUGUUGGUUUCUGAAUCACCGUAAUGAUUAAUAGGGAUAGUUGGGGGCAUUAGUAUUCAAUUGUCAGAGGUGAAAUUCUUGGAUUUAUUGAAGACUAACUUCUGCGAAAGCAUUUGCCAAGGAUGUUUUCAUUAAUCAAGAACGAAAGUUAGGGGAUCGAAGACGAUCAGAUACCGUCGUAGUCUUAACCAUAAAACUAUGCCGACUAGGGAUCGGACGAUGUUAACCUUUUAUUGACUCGCUCGGCGCCUUAC
RNAcentral lists this ribosomal RNA (520 nucleotides) under uncultured Scutellospora. RNAcentral's name for it is "SSU rRNA". It matches the Rfam family "Eukaryotic small subunit ribosomal RNA", at positions 569 to 1091 of the family's 1831-position model. The record is from RNAcentral. Lineage: Eukaryota; Fungi; Glomeromycota; Glomeromycetes; Diversisporales; Gigasporaceae.